GUUCAGUGGACCGUGACAUUGGGGUAAAAACUCUAAUUUGGCAUUAAAAUUAAAAAGAUCAUAUCAUAGGGAACAUGUGUACCAAGUUUGAAGUCGAUUGGACUUCAACUUCAUCAAAAACUACCUUGACCAAAAACUUUAACCUGAAGAGGGACAGACGGACGGACGAACGGACGAACGGACGAACAGACGCACAGACCAGAAAACAUAAUGCCCCCCUACUAUCGUAGGUGGGGCAUAAAAAUGCACAGCUGUGUCAUGAUUUGUGAAAUCUGUGCUGAAAACAUAGGCAUUUAUGGUGUUUGAGUAAUUCCAUCUGUGAAGCUCAACAUUAGCUCGUCAGUUCGUGGUGGACAGUUAUAAAUCUUUCCUGCAGGAUGAAUGUACAUCUAUUCAGGAAAACCAAUUUCACAAAUCAAAACUUUCCUCUAGAUUUCUCCUACAAUAUUCAUCCAGUUUAGUUCUUUUGGUUUAACGGGACACCGUCCUGAUUUUUAAUUUUGUAAACCAUUCAGUCUCUUGCUUACAAAUGGUGCAUGAAAAUAGGAUGGGAAUGCA
Molecule: long non-coding RNA, 558 nt
Filed under: Mytilus galloprovincialis (Mediterranean mussel)
Lineage: Eukaryota; Metazoa; Mollusca; Bivalvia; Mytilida; Mytilidae
Source: RNAcentral